UGUUUUUACAAAUAUGUAACAAAAAAGUGAUUUAAAAAAUGAUGCUUAAAAAAAGUGUUAAAGAAAUAUUUAAAAAGUCAAGAAUUAAACCUUCUCCGGCAAGAACUUCCACCUCGGCCACCAUCCUGCUCUUCAUUGAACUCUCUCUCCCGCUCGAUCGGAAUUACUCUCACCUUUCCCGUGAGCUGCGAACUUUUCCUCAUGCACGAGUUAGAGAGUUUUUAACUUCCAUCACCAGCAUCGUGCUCCUUAUUGCACUCUCUCUCCCGCACGAUCAAAAUGGCUGCCAUUUUUCCAGCCAUCUUCCCGCGAGCUUAUAACUAUCCGUCAUUUUGUCUUCGAACUCAUUCCCGCUGCGGCGGUUGACGUUUUUGGUGAAAAUUUGUUAGAGACCGAUUGAAAUAGAAAAUUGAAUAAAAUUUGAAAUUGGAAAGUGAAAAUAACGGUAAGUUUCUUUAUUGCAUCUUGUUUUUUUUUUUAAUUUUAUGGAAUGUGUGAUUUUUCUUUGUAGUUGAUUAAAUUUUUGAGUUAAUUGAAUUUUUUAUAGUACAUUUAAAAUUCGUUUUAAUUUCUUUCGCUGCCCGCUUGCUUGUUUUUUUUUUAAUUUGUUUCUGCUCCCCAUCCGUUUCCAUUUUUCAAUCGUUUCCUUGGGCCCUGCGCUUCACAUUCAAUUGCAUUUAUUGACCGAAGAAAUAUUUUAUUACUUUACGCUUGGCAAAUAUUAGUUGCCCAUCGUGAAAAGGUUGGUUGGCUGCCUAGGGGAGGGGGGUGGGGUUUUAUGGUUGCGUUUUUUUCUUUGCCCUCUCUCUCUCCCCCUUUUAUUUUUUGGGAGGCUCUUUUUUUUCUAGCUGGAGGCUGGAAGAGUGGAUGGAUGGCUGGAAGGAAAGGACGGCAAGGAGGGGAGGAGAGGGGAGCUUAGAGCAAAUUUCUUGUCAUUGACGCAGGCAGCGACAUGAAACGAU
Drosophila ananassae is the source of this 962-nucleotide long non-coding RNA. RefSeq lists it as uncharacterized. Lineage: Eukaryota; Metazoa; Arthropoda; Insecta; Diptera; Drosophilidae. The transcript is spliced from 2 exons. The record is from RefSeq and is a predicted model, not a curated record.